CUGGAACGCGCCCCAGGCGCACCCAGAAACCCUUUGUGAACUUAUACCUUACUGUUGCCUCGGCGCAUGCCGGCCCCCCUGGGGGCCCCUCCUUCGGGAGGAGCAGGCACGCCGGCGGCCAACCCAACUCUUGUUUUUACACUGAAACUCUGAGAAUAAAACAUAAAUGAAUCAAAACUUUCAACAACGGAUCUCUUGGUUCUGGCAUCGAUGAAGAACGCAGCGAAAUGCGAUAAGUAAUGUGAAUUGCAGAAUUCAGUGAAUCAUCGAAUCUUUGAACGCACAUUGCGCCCUCUGGUAUUCCGGAGGGCAUGCCUGUUCGAGCGUCAUUUCAAACCUCAAGCCUGGCUUGGUGAUGGGGCACUGCUUCUUACCCAAGAAGCAGGCCCUGAAAUUCAGUGGCGAGCUCGCCAGGACCCCGAGCGCAGUAGUUAAACCCUCGCUCUGGAAGGCCCUGGCGGUGCCCUGCCGUUAAACCCCCAACUUCUGAAAAU
Molecule: ribosomal RNA, 494 nt
Filed under: Diaporthe sp. Ll007
Lineage: Eukaryota; Fungi; Ascomycota; Sordariomycetes; Diaporthales; Diaporthaceae
Also listed under: 2 other names
Description: eukaryotic LSU rRNA
Rfam family: 5.8S ribosomal RNA (bases 176-329)
Source: RNAcentral